RNAcentral lists this ribosomal RNA (524 nucleotides) under Mantidactylus brevipalmatus. RNAcentral's name for it is "partial 16S ribosomal RNA". It matches the Rfam family "Bacterial large subunit ribosomal RNA", at positions 1854 to 2597 of the family's 2925-position model. The record is from RNAcentral. Lineage: Eukaryota; Metazoa; Chordata; Amphibia; Anura; Mantellidae.
CAGCCUGCCCAGUGACAAGUUCAACGGCCACGGUAUCCUAACCGUGCGAAGGUAGCAUAAUCACUUGUUCUUUAAAUGGGGACUCGUAUCAACGGCACCACGAGGGUUAUACUGUCUCCUUUUUCUAAUCAGUGAAAUUAAUCUCCCCGUGAAGAAGCGGGGAUACCCCUAUAAGACGAGAAGACCCCAUGGAGCUUCAAACCCAACUACACCCCUAGUUUCUAUAACUCUCAACCCCCAGGGCCCUGUACAGUUGGUUUUAGGUUGGGGCGACCACGGAGUACAACAAAACCUCCACAAUGAAUGGGACCACCCCCCAUCUAAGAGCUACAACCCUAAGAAUUAGAACACUAACAUAAAAUGAUCCAUUAUUUGAUCAAUGAACCAAGUUACCCUGGGGAUAACAGCGCAAUCCAUUUCAAGAGCCCCUAUCGACAAAUGGGUUUACGACCUCGAUGUUGGAUCAGGGUGUCCUAGUGGUGCAGCAGCUACUGACGGUUCGUUUGUUCAACGAUUAAAACCCU